This 481-nucleotide ribosomal RNA is filed under the name uncultured bacterium. RNAcentral's name for it is "partial 16S ribosomal RNA". It matches the Rfam family "Bacterial small subunit ribosomal RNA", at positions 28 to 501 of the family's 1533-position model. The record is from RNAcentral.
GACGAACGCUGGCGGCGUGCUUAACACAUGCAAGUCGAACGAUGAACCCGGAGCUUGCUCCGGCGGAUUAGUGGCGAACGGGUGAGUAACACGUGAGUAACCUGCCCUUGACUCUGGGAUAACUGCUAGAAAUGGUAGCUAAUACCGGAUACGACCCUCGGUGGCAUCACCAGGGGGUGGAAAGAAUUUCGGUCAAGGAUGGACUCGCGGCCUAUCAGCUAGUUGGUGAGGUAACGGCUCACCAAGGCGACGACGGGUAGCCGGCCUGAGAGGGUGACCGGCCACACUGGGACUGAGACACGGCCCAGACUCCUACGGGAGGCAGCAGUGGGGAAUAUUGCACAAUGGGCGCAAGCCUGAUGCAGCAACGCCGCGUGAGGGAUGACGGCCUUCGGGUUGUAAACCUCUUUUGUCAGGGAAGAAACACCGGCUCUAACACAGUCUGGGAAUGACGGUACCUGAAGAAUAAGCACCGGCUAAC